Molecule: ribosomal RNA, 255 nt
Filed under: uncultured bacterium
Lineage: Bacteria
Description: partial 16S ribosomal RNA
Rfam family: Bacterial small subunit ribosomal RNA
Source: RNAcentral
UACGUAGGGGGCAAGCGUUGUCCGGAAUCAUUGGGCGUAAAGCGCGUGUAGGCGGCCUUGUAAGUCCGUUCUGGAAAGUCCGGGGCUCAACCCCGGGAGGCGGAUGGAUACUGCAAGGCUCGAGUCCGGAAGAGGCAAGUGGAAUUCCCGGUGUAGCGGUGAAAUGCGCAGAUAUCGGGAGGAACACCAAUGGCGAAGGCAGCUUGCUGGGACGGUACUGACGCUGGAGACGCGAAAGCGUGGGGAGCAAACAGG